CCCUUAGAGUUUGAUCCUGGCUCAGAACGAACGUUGGCGGCAUGGAUUAGGCAUGCAAGUCGAACGAAUGCCAGGGUAGCAAUACCAUGGCGGAAGUGGCGAAAGGGGCAGUAAUACAUGGAUAACCUACCCUGGGGAUGGGCAUAGCCGGUCUAACGGCCGGGUAAUACCCAGAGAUUCGGCGGCGGUGGCAUCAUCGCUCCGGGAAAUGAAUUUCGCCUCGGGAGGGGUCCAUGAGCUAUCAGCUAGUUGGUGAGGUAACGGCCCACCAAGGCAAAGACGGCUAGCGGGUGUGAGAGCACGACCCGCGCCACUGGCACUGAGACACUGGCCAGACACCUACGGGUGGCUGCAGUCGAGGAUCUUCGUCAAUGGGCGCAAGCCUGAACGAGCGAUGCCGCGUGAGCGAUGAAGGCCUUCGGGUUGUAAAGCUCAAAAGAGGUGAGAAAGGGAAACUUGAUCAAGCCUCAGUAAGCUCGGGCUAAGUUCGUGCCAGCAGCCGCGGUAAGACGAACCGAGCGAACGUUGUUCGGAAUCACUGGGCUUAAAGGGCGCGUAGGCGGAUUUGCAAGUCCGUGGUGAAAUCCCACAGCUCAACUGUGGAACUGCCUCGGAUACUGUGAGUCUCGAGGGUGGUAGGGGUAUGCGGAACUAUCGGUGGAGCGGUGAAAUGCGUUGAUAUCGAUAGGAACUCGGGU
Molecule: ribosomal RNA, 698 nt
Filed under: uncultured bacterium
Lineage: Bacteria
Description: bacterial SSU rRNA
Rfam family: Bacterial small subunit ribosomal RNA
Source: RNAcentral